CCUACGGGAGGCAGCAGUGGGGAAUUUUCCGCAAUGGGCGAAAGCCUGACGGAGCAAUACCGCGUGAGGGAAGACUGCCUAUGGGUUGUAAACCUCUUUUUUCAGGGAGGAGUAAAAUGACGUGUACCUGAAGAAUAAGCAUCGGCUAACUCCGUGCCAGCAGCCGCGGUAAGACGGAGGAUGCAAGUGUUAUCCGGAAUCACUGGGCGUAAAGCGUCUGUAGGUGGUUUAAUAAGUCAACUGUUAAAUCUUGAGGCUCAACUUCAAAACCGCAGUCGAAACUAUUAGACUAGAGUAUAGUAGAGGUAAAGGGAAUUUCCAGUGGAGCGGUGAAAUGCGUAGAUAUUGGAAAGAACACCGAUGGCGAAAGCACUUUACUGGGCUAUUACUAACACUCAGAGACGAAAGCUAGGGUAGCAAAUGGGAUUAGAUACCCCAGUAGUCCUAGCCGUAAACUAUGGAUACUAGAUGUUGAACAGAUCGACCUGUGCAGUAUCAAAGCUAACGCGUUAAGUAUCCCGCCUGGGAAGUAUGCUCGCAAGAGUGAAACUCAAAGGAAUUGACGG
RNAcentral lists this ribosomal RNA (566 nucleotides) under uncultured bacterium. RNAcentral's name for it is "bacterial SSU rRNA". It matches the Rfam family "Bacterial small subunit ribosomal RNA", at positions 338 to 916 of the family's 1533-position model. The record is from RNAcentral.